UGCCAGCAGCCGCGGUAAUACGGAGGGUGCGAGCGUUAUCCGGAAUCACUGGGUUUAAAGGGUGCGUAGGCGGCUUGGUAAGUCAGUAGUGAAAGCUCACCGCUCAACGGUGGAACUGCUAUUGAUACUGCCAGGCUCGGAUCGGCGCGAGGCAGGCGGAAUGUGGCAUGUAGCGGUGAAAUGCUUAGAUAUGCCAUAGAACACCGAUUGCGUAGGCAGCUUGCCAGAGCCGUAUCGACGCUGAGGCACGAAAGCGUGGGGAGCGAACAGGAUUAGAUA
Molecule: ribosomal RNA, 279 nt
Filed under: uncultured bacterium
Lineage: Bacteria
Description: partial 16S ribosomal RNA
Rfam family: Bacterial small subunit ribosomal RNA
Source: RNAcentral